Molecule: ribosomal RNA, 496 nt
Filed under: uncultured bacterium
Lineage: Bacteria
Description: partial 16S ribosomal RNA
Rfam family: Bacterial small subunit ribosomal RNA
Source: RNAcentral
GAUGAACGCUGGCGGCGUGCCUAAUACAUGCAAGUCGAGCGAACAGACGAGGAGCUUGCUCCUCUGACGUUAGCGGCGGACGGGUGAGUAACACGUGGAUAACCUACCUAUAAGACUGGGAUAACUUCGGGAAACCGGAGCUAAUACCGGAUAACAUGUUGAACCGCAUGGUUCAACAGUGAAAGACGGUCUUGCUGUCACUUAUAGAUGGAUCCGCGCCGCAUUAGCUAGUUGGUAAGGUAACGGCUUACCAAGGCAACGAUGCGUAGCCGACCUGAGAGGGGGUAGCGCGCACCAGAAACUGAGACGCGGCCCAGGCCCCGAGGGGAGGCAGAGGCAGGGAAUGUUCCGCAAAGGGGGAAAGCCUGCGGGAGGCACGGCGGGGGGGUGAAGAAGGUCCUCGUGCGGUAAAACUUUUUUAUUAGGGAAAAAAAAAUUGGAAAGUAACGAAGCCCGUCUGGAGGGUACCUAUAAAGAAAGCCCGGGUUAACACCGG